This 497-nucleotide ribosomal RNA is filed under the name uncultured bacterium. RNAcentral describes it as "partial 16S ribosomal RNA". It matches the Rfam family "Bacterial small subunit ribosomal RNA", at positions 28 to 507 of the family's 1533-position model. The record is from RNAcentral.
GAUGAACGCUGGCGGCGUGCCUAAUACAUGCAAGUCGAGCGAACAGACGAGGAGCUUGCUCCUCUGACGUUAGCGGCGGACGGGUGAGUAACACGUGGAUAACCUACCUAUAAGACUGGGAUAACUUCGGGAAACCGGAGAUAAUACCGGAUAAUAUAUUGAACCGCAUGGUUCAAUAGUGAAAGACGGUUUUGCUGUCACUUAUAGAUGGAUCCGCGCCGCAUUAGCUAGUUGGUAAGGUAACGGCUUACCAAGGCAACGAUGCGUAGCCGACCUGAGAGGGUGAUCGGCCACCCUGGAACUUAGACACGGUCCAGACUCCUACGGGAGGCAGCAGUAGGGAAUCUUCCGCAAUGGGCGAAAGCUUGACGGAGCAACGCCGCGUGAGUGAUGAAGGUCUUCGGAUCGUAAAACUCUGUUAUUAGGGAAGAACAAAUGUGUAAGUAACUAUGCACGUCUUGACGGUACCUAAUCAGAAAGCCACGGCUAACUACGUG